GGGGUUGUGCCUCAGCGGUAGAGUGCUCGCCUAGCAUGUGAGAGGCCCUGGGUUUGAUCCUCAGCACCA
This 69-nucleotide transfer RNA is filed under the name Ictidomys tridecemlineatus (thirteen-lined ground squirrel). Its description in RNAcentral is "Spermophilus tridecemlineatus (thirteen-lined ground squirrel) tRNA". It matches the Rfam family "tRNA". From Rfam's summary of the family: Transfer RNA (tRNA) molecules are approximately 80 nucleotides in length. Their secondary structure includes four short double-helical elements and three loops (D, anti-codon, and T loops). Further hydrogen bonds mediate the characteristic L-shaped molecular structure. tRNAs have two regions of fundamental functional importance: the anti-codon, which is responsible for specific mRNA codon recognition, and the 3' end, to which the tRNAs corresponding amino acid is attached (by aminoacyl-tRNA synthetases). tRNAs cope with the degeneracy of the genetic code in two manners: having more than one tRNA (with a specific anti-codon) for a particular amino acid; and 'wobble' base-pairing, i.e. permitting non-standard base-pairing at the 3rd anti-codon position. The record is from Rfam by way of RNAcentral. Lineage: Eukaryota; Metazoa; Chordata; Mammalia; Rodentia; Sciuridae.